GUGAAAUGGAGUGAGGCAUACCAGGAUAUGCCUGGUUUUACUCUUGGGAAGGAGGUUGAACAGUGCAAUAUUUCUUCUAUAGGAUUGCAGUGACCAGACAUGCUACUGUAACUCUCAUGGUCAUGUGCUGGAAUUAGCAGAUAUUCAACAAUUUGGCCAUCUCGCUGACCUAUUGAUAUCAGAAGACCGCAGCAGCUCUGCAAAGCAAGUUGCAAAACAGAAUCCAUGAAAGUGGCAGUGACCGGAAACCAGUUGGAAGACUUUGGUCUGUGAUGUAGAGGAGUGGGCAGAGGUAGCAGAAGCAAAGACAACAAAAAACAGAAGUGAUAUGGAUGUCUUCGUCAUAUGGCAUGACUCUGCUGACCCAGCAACAAAGAGGAGGGUCUUCAACAUCAUCCUGCUAGUCAGGAUUCUUCAGGAGAAGCAGUGGAUUCUUGUGGCAGAGAUGGCCAACCACUAUAAAUACCUUUCAACUCAUCCUGGUUCCUUCAAAGAACUUUCCUGCUUGUUUGCUACUGAAAAGUAUGUAUUUGUAUUAUUUGGCACAGACAUAAGCAUAAGGUUACCCAGUCCAAAGGAUAUUAAUAUAUUUUUAUGUUGUUGUGUUCUUCUUUUAAGAUUCGACAUGUGGCCUAAACGAAGAGGGGUUAAAAGGUCUAUGGAUCAUCAUUCUCAGAAAGCAACAAAAUAACUGAGAAAUAAACAACAAUACGAUGGUGCAAUCUAGAGACCUGCAAGGUACUUGCAAGUUUUGGCUGGAGCAGAGAACAUAGAUUUUUUUAAAUAAAGCUCCAGCUGAUGAAUAUGACAUUGACUGUGGAUUUUCUUUUACUGUAAUCCAGAAGAGGAUGACCUUAACCCUGAAUCUAAAGCAUGUAAUGCAAUCUGUAAAAAAAAUAAAAUAAAAAUUUCAUCUUCUAUAACCAAAUUGUUGUCUCUUUUUUUUUUUUAAAUACAUAGAUAUGUACGGU
RNAcentral lists this long non-coding RNA (971 nucleotides) under Danio rerio (zebrafish). RNAcentral's name for it is "lncRNA (ENSDARG00000117239.1)". Lineage: Eukaryota; Metazoa; Chordata; Actinopteri; Cypriniformes; Danionidae. The record is from RNAcentral.